This 206-nucleotide ribosomal RNA is filed under the name uncultured bacterium. RNAcentral describes it as "partial 16S ribosomal RNA". It matches the Rfam family "Bacterial small subunit ribosomal RNA", at positions 568 to 774 of the family's 1533-position model. The record is from RNAcentral.
AGCGUAGACGGUGUGGCAAGUCUGAUGUGAAAGGCAUGGGCUCAACCUGUGGACUGCAUUGGAAACUGUCAUACUUGAGUGCCGGAGAGGUAAGCGGAAUUCCUAGUGUAGCGGUGAAAUGCGUAGAUAUUAGGAGGAACACCAGUGGCGAAGGCGGCUUACUGGACGGUAACUGACGUUGAGGCUCGAAAGCGUGGGAGCAAACA